This 497-nucleotide ribosomal RNA is filed under the name uncultured bacterium. RNAcentral describes it as "partial 16S ribosomal RNA". It matches the Rfam family "Bacterial small subunit ribosomal RNA", at positions 28 to 507 of the family's 1533-position model. The record is from RNAcentral.
GAUGAACGCUGGCGGCGUGCCUAAUACAUGCAAGUCGAGCGAACAGACGAGGAGCUUGCUCCUCUGACGUUAGCGGCGGACGGGUGAGUAACACGUGGAUAACCUACCUACAAGACUGGGAUAACUUCGGGAAACCGGAGCUAAUACCGGAUAAUAUAUUGAACCGCAUGGUUCAAUAGUGAAAGACGGUUUUGCUGUCACUUAUAGAUGGAUCCGCGCCGCAUUAGCUAGUUGGUAAGGUAACGGCUUACCAAGGCAACGAUGCGUAGCCGACCUGAGAGGGUGAUCGGCCACACUGGAACUGAGACACGGUCCAGACUCCUACGGGAGGCAGCAGUAGGGAAUCUUCCGCAAUGGGCGAAAGCCUGACGGAGCAACGCCGCGUGAGUGAUGAAGGUCUUCGGAUCGUAAAACUCUGUUAUUAGGGAAGAACAAAUGUGUAAGUAACUAUGCACAUCUUGACGGUACCUAAUCAGAAAGCCACGGCUAACUACGUG